RNAcentral lists this ribosomal RNA (369 nucleotides) under Microsporum audouinii. RNAcentral's name for it is "SSU rRNA". It matches the Rfam family "Eukaryotic small subunit ribosomal RNA", at positions 606 to 981 of the family's 1831-position model. The record is from RNAcentral. Lineage: Eukaryota; Fungi; Ascomycota; Eurotiomycetes; Onygenales; Arthrodermataceae.
AAAGUUGUUGCAGUUAAAAAGCUCGUAGUUGAACCUUGGGCCUGGCUGGCCGGUCCGCCUCACGGCGUGCACUGGUCCGGCUGGGCCUUUCCUUCUGGGGAACCCCAUGGCCUUCACUGGCCGUGGGUGGAACCAGGACUUUUACUGUGAAAAAAUUAGAGUGUUCAAAGCAGGCCUUUGCUCGGAUACAUUAGCAUGGAAUAAUAGAAUAGGACGUGUGGUUCUAUUUUGUUGGUUUCUAGGACCGCCGUAAUGAUUAAUAGGGAUAGUCGGGGGCGUCAGUAUUCGGCUGUCAGAGGUGAAAUUCUUGGAUUUGCUGAAGACUAACUACUGCGAAAGCAUUCGCCAAGGAUGUUUUCAUUAAUCAGU